Molecule: ribosomal RNA, 486 nt
Filed under: uncultured bacterium
Lineage: Bacteria
Description: partial 16S ribosomal RNA
Rfam family: Bacterial small subunit ribosomal RNA
Source: RNAcentral
GAUGAACGCUCGCGAUAGGCUUAACACAUGCAAGUCGAGGGGCAGCACAAGGUAGCUUGCUCUCUGGGUGGCGACCGGCGCGCGGGUGCGUAACGCGUAUGCAACUUGCCCUAUACAGGAGGAUAACCCGUCGAAAGACGGACUAAUACUGCGUAUGCUCACAACUUGGCAUCAAGUGGUGAGGAAAGAAAUUCGGUAUAGGAUAGGCAUGCGUCCCAUUAGCUUGUUGGUGAGGUAACGGCUCACCAAGGCAACGAUGGGUAGGGGAACUGAGGGGUUUAUCCCCACACUGGUACUGAGACACGGACCAGACUCCUACGGGAGGCAGCAGUGAGGAAUAUUGGUCAAUGGGCGCGAGCCUGAACCAGCCAAGUCGCGUGAAGGAUGACUGUGUUAUGGAUUGUAAACUUCUUUUAGACGGGAAUAACAAAAGUCACGGGUGACUCCCUGCAUGUACCGGAUGAAUAAGCAUCGGCUAACUCCGUG